This is a long non-coding RNA of Mytilus californianus (California mussel), 1007 nucleotides long. RefSeq lists it as uncharacterized. The record is from RefSeq and is a predicted model, not a curated record. NCBI's taxonomy places the organism in Eukaryota, Metazoa, Mollusca, Bivalvia, Mytilida, Mytilidae. The transcript has 3 exons.
CAUAUUUUGACUCAAAUUGCAUCAUAUGUUAAUUGUUAUGACUGAUUUUUAUUUAGGUUUUGUCUGUGUGAAAGCGUUUUGUUUCGCAAAAAAUGCAUGGAUCAAAUUACAUACGUGCAACGCACUUUGCAACGGGUCACUGAAGACGAACCAUAAUAUUUGAAAAAAGAACUUUAUGUCAGUUGGAUUUUGAAGAACAACAAUUAGAAAAACCAUGAAUAAUGAUUGAGUCGACCUAGAAUUUUACGUUUAAAAAAUGUUAGGAAAUUCAACAGGAACCUUCGCUUUAAACGCAACAACCGAUACAUACAACGAAUUGUAUAAUGAGACAAAACAUACGUCUUACUAUGACAUGUUUAAUGGGACAACAAAUACGUCUUACCAUGACAUGUUUAAUGGGACAACAAAUACGUCUUACCAUGACAUGUUUAAUGGGACAACAAAUACGUCUUACCAUGACAUGUUUAAUGGGACAACAAAUACGUCUUACCAUGACAUGUUUAAUGGGACAACAAAUCCAUCUUACUUAGUAAAUAUGACCAUUACUACCGAAUAUGGUUACCUUUUGACCACUGAACAACCAAACGCGCACAAAGAUCUGAUUUGGAUAUUACCAGCCUUCCUUGGAAUAGUUUGUUUUCUAUUCGGGGUCGCAUGUGUUCUGUUUUACACUAUAAAAUAUUGUGAAAUAUGUAUAUUGCGAUUUUUAUACAAAUGUUGUGGCUGUUGUGGUCCUCCUACUGAAAAAGGACAGAAAACUAGGCAAAGUUAUACUGAGUUACAAGAAAGAGAAGACAUAGCAGAUGAAAUCGAUGCAAUGUAUAUGAAAGAUAUCAUCGAAUCUGCUGGAUCUUUCGGAACAAUCGAUAGAUUAGAUGAUGAUGAAAUAUUUUCACAAGAAAGGGAGAAAUCAUAAACAGACUCUGCCUUAUUGAAAUAUUCUCUAACAUGGCCAAAGAUAAUCAAAGCAAUCUCAUUUUUACCAAUAAAUAUUUUUUAAUUUUCAA